This 193-nucleotide unclassified non-coding RNA is filed under the name Glomeraceae sp. RNAcentral describes it as "partial contains 5.8S ribosomal RNA and internal transcribed spacer 2". The stretch from base 1 to 65 matches the Rfam family "5.8S ribosomal RNA", at positions 84 to 154 of the family's 154-position model. Lineage: Eukaryota; Fungi; Glomeromycota; Glomeromycetes; Glomerales; Glomeraceae. The record is from RNAcentral.
GUGAAUCAUCAAAUUUUUGAACGCAAAUUGCACUCUCUUCGGAGAGUAUGCCUGUCUGCGGGUCAGCCUCAAAAAAAUCGUCAUCGUUGCUGUUUCGCGGUCGCGUUCGACGGACAUUGGGUUAUCUUAAAUCUGUGGUUUAAGCGUCUUAGAAUUUUCUUUACGAUUCCAUGAACGUUUCCAAGAUUUCUUU